GAACGCCGUAUGCGGGGAAACUCGCACGUACGGUGUGGAGUGGGGGAAAAUCUGGAGAUAACAUCAAAGGAUUACCUAUCACUAU
Molecule: non-coding RNA, 85 nt
Organism: Tissierella praeacuta DSM 18095
Lineage: Bacteria; Bacillati; Bacillota; Tissierellia; Tissierellales; Tissierellaceae
Source: Rfam